AAAAAACAAAAACCACAAAAAUUCUUCAGAAAACACCAAAAUGUACUGUUUCAUUAGACUGUAGGUUUGUUUUGAUACUCUAGUUCAUAAUUUGCAUUUCUGGGUUCCCAUGUUGGCCUGUUGAAGUUUCUGGUUGAUUCACACUGGAUUUCAAACAAAUGUUGGGUUCAUUCAAGUUUAUUUUGGUGGUUUUUUGUUGCUGCUGAGUUUUCAAUUGUGUCUGGGUUACGAUUUAAGUGAAUUUUCUGGGGUUAUCCUCAAGUUUGCUGGAUUUUUGGACUAAUUUUGGACUGGGUUGUUGCUAUGUUAUUGGAAGUUGUUUGCUAUUACAGCUGUUCUUCACUGCUCGAACUGAUUUCUUCUCCAUCUCUUAUUCUCCCUCAGGUACACAUUCGAGCUUGUAUUGAUGUUGGUUCCCUUUCUUGGAAAAAUGAAAUGGAAUUGAAGUUUUGCUUUAGAUCUAUUUUUUGAUUUAUCCUAUUAAUGAAUGAUCUUGUAUAAUUUAGUUAAUUUCCUAAUGCAACUGGAUAUGAACUAGAAAUUGGACUGUAAAUGAGGGACUGCACUGUGAUGGUGUGACAUGUAUUAAUUUGGACGGUUAAUUAGGGUAAUGCUUGUUGAUUAAUUUCAUGAUGACUGAUAAUAAAUGACUGUAUAUUGUGCUGUUAAUUCUAGAUUAAGGAUUAUUAGGUUCACGUGAAGGUUGAUCAGUAUCAUUUUGCAUAAAUGACUGUAGAAUGUGCUGUUAAUUCUAGAUUAAGGAUUAUUAGGUUCACGUGAAGGUUGAUCAGUAUCGUUUUGUUUGGCUUCUAGUUUGUUUGUGUAAAUCUGAUACAAUUCCUAGCAAUGGCAGUCAUAUAAAUAAAACUACUGCUCAAUCUCCUUUUAAAUUUGCCAAAAUAUAGAAUGGAAACGUUAUCAGCAGCUGAUUCACCGUAAAAGCAAUGUAUGUAGUUAAUAUCAUCCGAGGAUGCAAACGCCUCCAGUGAUUGUGCUUCACCAUUUCCAGUUAAGUUGGCGUUUCUGUGCCGGACUUGAACUUGAAAUUCGCAUGCGGAUAAUAGUCAAUUUGGAUCUUCUUUUCUUUUAGAGAAAAAAAAAUAAAAAUAGAAAAUCAUAGUCAUAAUUUAGGAUGGCCUUCAAUAAAAUGACGAGAUGAGCCUCGCCAAAUAAAAACAAUUGUGGGGCCCUCGAUAAAGGUUAAAAGUAUUUAGAAUUUGGGAGGGCCAUUUAGCAAAUUUCAUGGUCUUCCCCAAAAUAAUAAUACGCUAGAAUCUUUAGACGUGCUUAAUUAAAUUACUUUCUUAAUCUCGGGUGUGCAAUGAUGCGACCCAAAUCCAAAUCUCGGCGAAGUUGAAACGUGUCGACGAUCACGUGUACACUGGCGGUGACGUGAUUAGAAAUACAUUUUCGCGAUGUUGCAAGUCUGUUAAAAUAAAUAAUGGUAAAAGUGGUUUAUAAAUAAAAAGCACAUAAGUUAGUAUGUAAUAAAACCAGAUAAAUCAAAUACAACAGUUAAGCGAACGUGCUAGAACCAUGGAACCCGGGAAUGCCUAGCACCUUCUCCCAGGUUAACAGAAUUCCUUAUCCGUAUUUCUGGUUCGCGAACUGUAAGAUAGAGUCAAUCUCUUCCUCGGUUCGGGAUUAAACCGGUGACUUGGGACACCAUAAAUCUCCCAAGUGGCGACUCUGGAUAAUUAAUAACCAAAUCCCGUUAAGAUUGUCAUUUAAUUGGAAAACUCCUUUACUCUCCUUUGCGGGGGUGUAUAGUGAAAAAGGGUGGUGUGACAAUGAGACAAAGAGGUUAUUGCAAGGUAACUGCCAAAACUGCCCAUCAUGUGCAAGACAUGUGCCAUCUUUACUUGGCCAGCUGAAUUUUGCCCAAGGCUUGAUUUGUGCCAACCCUUAGCUUAAUUUGAAAUUGCUUUGUGUCAAUGUCUUGCCCGCAACCUGCUACCAUGAUUUUAUCGCACACGCCCGACGCCGUUUGCCGCUCGUGCACUGCCUUGGCCUAGUUUUUUCCUUUCCCAUGUCAACCUUCAUUUCCUUCAUGUAAUUUCUUGUAUUUUCCUUCACAUAGCCCUGCCUUGGCUAUUGAAAGCCAUUGCCAUCAUCCCACAUUUCUGUCUUCCCUUAACUUAGCCCACAUUAGCUGCUACAACCCAAAAGUGUCAUGCCACUAAUUUUGGUGCACAUGUCAUGCCAUGCCGCCCUAAAAUUGCCCACACAGUUUUGUCAAGCCUUUGCCAAGCGUGCCUUUCCUGUGCCAAGGCCUUGGAUAAUACUUGCCCAAAACUUCCCUCAAUGAAAAUGUCUUGUCUGUCGCCCGCAUGAUCGUUUUGCCCCCAUAUAGGCCAAUGACAACGCCAUCACGCCCAAAUCCUUGCCAUAGCCAUUCCACGCGCCGAUGAAAAAGUGUUAGGGUCUAAAAAAGCACCCACCUCCUUGGAAAUCAACGUUCUCAUCGAGCCAACUCAAUUAAUCAGCCCCAAGGGGUUGUUGACAAACAAUGCCUUUGGUGCUCCAUUCACAUCUACCACUAUAGCAUUUGCCUCCGCCACUUGUUCAUAUUUUUCCGCAGCUAGCAUUGCAUUCACCCUAUCCUGCACCGAAUAGUCCUUCUUCAUGUGCAGUCCACCACAAGUAAUAUCACUUUUGAACUUGCUGUUUCUUUCCUUGCUAUUGUGAAUUUCAUGUCUCAUAUUCUUGGCAAAAUCCUCAUUUUCAGCAGCUUGGCCUUUCCCGCUUUUCUUCCAUUCCUUUGCUUUGUCUUUCUUCCCAUCAGCCUUUGAAUGUGAAGUUUCAACAUAAUCAUCACCUAUGUUUAGGUCCGUCAACGCAUCUACUGUAGCAAUGGCAGUAGAUAGGCUUUGAACAUUUUGCCUUCUCAACUCCAAUUGCGCCCAGCUCUUCAAUCUACUCAUGAAGUAAUGCAUCUUGUCUUCUUCUGCUAUAUUACUUACAUUCAGCAUCAAGGACGAAACUCCUUGACAUACUCCCUUACCGUGCCACUUUGUUUCAAGCGACGCAUUCCAUCUCGCGCCGUCCAUGACGAGUUAUUUAGAAGGAAUCGACAUUUUUAAUUCCUUCUUCAGCAUCUCCCAAGUUUCAAUUUAGGGCAGUCUAGCACUUUCCCCAUCCUCAACUCGUGUACGCCACCACACCUUUGCAUCAUCAGUCAAAUACAUAGGCGUGAUCGCCACAUUUUCAUCAUCUGGCACGAGCAGCUUGGAAAUAUUGCUCCAUAUCCCAUACAAAAUUUUCCAGUUCUUUGGCACUUCUUGCACCGCCAUAUGCCUUUGGCUUUGGAAUCCUCAAUUUCGUGGGUUCAUCGCUUCUAGGGGCAGCAGUUUGCAAUGCCCUUCGAAGUUGAACCACUUCCUCUCGUAGUUCUUCCUUCUCUUUGCAUACCAAGGCCAUUUCUGCCAGCGUUAUCUCAUGCCUCUCCGCAUAAUUUGUCUCCAAACGUACCAUUCUAGCAAGAACAGAAGAAUUGCCUUCUACAUCAAGAGCCUGCCCAACAAGUGUUUCCACCUGCUCAACUCUUUGACGCAGUUCCGCAUUUGUGCCACCAGCCAUAUUCUCAAAUAGCCCAACGAAAUAUGCCACUGAUCAUCUUGCCACUACCACAAACCUGCUCCGCUCUGAUACCAGUUGUCACAGGGGCGUUUAUAGUCAGUCUAACAUCACACUCGUGCGGCAGUCAAGUCACGCACUUGACUCAGUCUUUCCCAAACACUUAACCAAUUUUCAGCAAAUUUGUCUUAAACGUAAUUUAGGUAGCAAAUCAAUAGAACACAAGAAAAUACGGGAAAAAUACCAACCUUUGCACUAAUUUAGAAAAUAUACAAUGGACCCUCACUUUGCUAUGAACACAUUCCCGUUCACGGCCCACUUUUAACAAAGAACACAAGUCAUUCUUGGCCAACACUAAGAGCUGCCCAAGCCAAACCUUAGCCCAUUUUGAAACACUUAGAAACCCUCACGUUUCUAUCUUGUUUCUCAGUUAUAAUUUCACACGAAAUUGCACACCUACAUCUGAUUAAGUACCAAAAGCCCUAUUUAUAGAAUAUAGGCUGCCCUUAGACUUGAUAGUACAUGACACUUGUCAUCUACAGCUUUUGCCACUUGUCGGGAUAAGUUUAAAUAUGUUCCUAACAUGUAGUUGACAUCCCCAACUGCUUAGAAAAUAAUAUACAUGAAAUGAAUAAUGUUACAAGCAUGAUCUGAUUAUGGGACAAAGAGGUUAUUGCAAGGUAACCACCAAAACUGCCCAUCAUGUGCAAGGCAUGUGCCUUCUUCACUUGGCCAGCUGAAUUUCGCCAAAGGCUUGCUUUGUGCCAAGCCUUAGCUCAAUUUGACAUUGUUUUGUGCCAAUGUCUUGCACGCAAUCUGCUACCAUGAUUUUAUCGCACACGCCCGAUGUCGCUUGUUGCCCCCGCACUAUCUUGGCCUAGUUUCUUCCAUGCCCAUGUCAACCUUCAUUUCCCUCGUGUCAUUGCUUGUAUUUUCCUUCACAUACUCCUGCCUUGGCUAUUGAAAGAAAUUGGCAUCAUCUCACAUUCCCACCUUGCCUUAACUUAGCCCGCAUUAGCUGCUACAACCCAAAAGUGCCAUGCUACUGAUUUGGCGUGCAUGUCGUGCCAUGCCGCCCUAACAUUUCCCACACAGCUUUGUCAAGCAUUUGCCAAGCGCGCCUUGCAUGUGCCAAAGCCUUGGCCAAUACUUACUCACAACAGCCCUCAAUGACAACGUCUUGUCCGUAGCCCGCAUGAUCGUUUUGCCCACACAUAGGCCAAUGAGAAGGCCAUCACGCCCAAAUCCUUACCACAUUCGUGCCACGCCCGAUGACAAAGAGUUAGGGUCUAACAGUUAUCCUCCAGAAAUCUAAGGUUUUGAUACUAUGUGAACACCAAGCCUUGACAGCAUACUUACUGAUGUUGUUAUGUUCUGCAAAUGAGAAGGUCAAAUAGCUAUAUUCAUAGUCACCGAGGCCACCAUUUGUUUUUUCUUUAUGGAGAUUGAAGUUGGCACAGAAUAUGCCCCAAAAGACUACCAAGACCCACCCCCUGCACCCUAAUAAAUUGACCUUGAGGAACUAGGAAAAUGGUCAUUUUAUAGAGCAAUAAUAGCUGAAAUCAUAGCCACUUGAAUAUAUAUUUCUAUACAUCACUGUCCUCACUGUGAUUGGAUACAAGAACCACAUUGACACUAACCAUAACGGUGAAGAAUGUGGUGGUGUUGGAAUUCUUGGAAUUGCAUGGGUAUUUCUGGUGGACAUAUAGCCGAACUUGGAAUGUUGCUUGUGGCCUUCCAGACGAGGAUUUUGAGAUUGAUGAGUGGUUUUGUAUAAAUUUAAUAUUUUUCAGGAUGGCGAUAAUGGUGGCAAUGGUGAUGGAGGGAAAAAGAAUUUUAGUAAUGGAAAAAAAAAGGGAGGGGUAAAAUGGGUAGGGGCACUGAAAUGGCAUGUCGCGUAGUGUCCACUUUAUUAAAUGUCUGUGACACGUAUGAUUGUAUGUCCACCUUGAUCAAACUUAACGGAAGAAUGGUAUAUUUGAAUCAAUAACAUAACAAUAGGGAUAUAUUUGAACCCAAAGUAUAACGAUAGGGUAUAUUUAAACUUUCUCUCACAAUACAGAGCUAUAUUUGGACAUUUUCAGUAUUGUAUAUGAUAUAUAAACAUCAUUUAUCUUAACGCAAUCAACAUCAUUUGAGUUGUGUCACACAUACUCUAGUAAUUUUAAAGUAAUAGUACUUAACUUUUAGCCCGCGGUUACGGAAUGCCUGGGCAGAAAUAGGCUAGAUUGAGGGUUAUAUUUUAUUUAUCAUAUUUUGAGUUAGAAAGCUCAGUUUUGGCAAUUUUGGAGGGGAUUUUUACGAUUUGGAUCGGGAUAAAUGUUUUUCAUUCAAAAUUUUCCAUUAUACAUGAUUGCAUCUUUGUUUUUAUAAUUUAAUUAGUGAUUUGAAUUGGAGAAAUUGAGGAUUUUAGCAAAAACUUUAUUAAAGUAUAAAAUGAGGAUUUGAAGGCCGAUUUAAAGUGAGAAUCAAAUGAUUUUGGUAUGGUUGGACUCGUAUCGGAAUAGGCGUUCAACAUUUGUGGGUUUGUUCUAGUUUCGAGUUGCGGGAUCUGGGUUGACUUUGUGACUUUCAUUAAAUAUCGAAUCUUUAUUAUCCGAAAUUUCUUCCUAUGGUUUUUAUUUAUGAUAUUAAGUUAUUCUGGCUAUAUUUGAUCCCUUCAGAGUUGGAUUUGCACGGGAAAAGCUUAUUAAUGAAUUGACUUAGCUUGUUUGAGAAAAUUAUCUUGUCAACUUUGUGUGGGGGAAACUACCCCUUAGGAUUUAGGUUGUUUGUACUAUUUGGCUUAUGCGAAAGACGUGUAGAGGUGACGAGCUUAUACACAAACUUAUAUAUUGUAUUUGAUCAAUUUAGAUUCAUAGGUUACUUAAAAACACUUAAUUGAAGUUAUUAUUUCUCUAUCUUUCGUUGUUUAUUUUAUGCUCACAUGCUUUAAUUAAAGUCAUUACUUGCUCUAGUUUCUAUCGUCAAAGUUAUUGUUAUGUGCAUUUACUGGUAGUAGUUGUUACAUGCCAUUUCUUCUAUUAUUGAGUUACUCUUAUGUACUUAGACCCAGUCAUUAUUUUAUAAUAUCUCUUUCAUUGUUAAGCUUAUGUCAUGUACUUGAAUUGGAAGUUGUUUCAUGAUUAUUUUCUUGUUGAGUUGUUUCUCAUCUCUUUCGUUGCUAUUGAGAUUCUUGUACAUUUUGUGAUUGAUCCUCGUGCUAUACGUAUUGUGGUGACGUGUUUAUUUUAGAGAUAUUGAGGCAUAUCGGCAGGUGUGGUGCGAGUUAAUUAUUGUGUUGUGAUAUUGAUGCGCAUGCGAAGGUAUAAGGAUAGGGAUUGAUGUGCAUGCAAUGAGAAAAGGUGAGAUCUAUACGCGUGUUACUAGUAAGGGAAUUGCUUGAAGCUGCCCGAUUAGAUAAGGGAGCUAGAGCGCGUGUAGCUAUUUCGAAAUAAAUAUUUUCAAAUUAAAUGCAAGACUCACACGGAGAUAUAACAAAGAUUAUGAUUAUGACUUGUGAAGUGUAAAUAUGAGGCGUGGUACCUCGGUAUGAUUCUUGUUUUACAUUUUAUGUUGGAAAGGCUUGAUGAUUUGAACAAUUGUUGUUCUUAUUCCCUUAUUCCUUCCCAUUAGUGUUUUGAUUGUAACUGGUUACUUGUUGUGUUAUCACAUGUACUCUUUGUUUGCUUUAUUUUCGUUGUUAGACCUGUAUUGAUAAAUUGCUUUAUUAUACUUUAAUUACUUUUCUCUUCCGUUAUUAGAUAAUAUUAUUAUUAUUUUAAGUUUUUUUUGUUUAAUAGGUGUUUUGACCUGGUCUCGUCACUAUCAUAUCGAGAUUAGACUUGAUACUUAUCGGGUAUUAUUGUGGUAUACUCAUGCUACUCUUCUGCAUAUUUUUGUGCAGAUCCAGAUAUGUUCGCUCGUG
RNAcentral lists this long non-coding RNA (7483 nucleotides) under Nicotiana benthamiana. Its description in RNAcentral is "long non-coding RNA (NBEN_LNC033782)". Lineage: Eukaryota; Viridiplantae; Streptophyta; Magnoliopsida; Solanales; Solanaceae. The record is from RNAcentral.